Long non-coding RNA from Carlito syrichta (Philippine tarsier), 786 nucleotides. RefSeq lists it as uncharacterized. NCBI's taxonomy places the organism in Eukaryota, Metazoa, Chordata, Mammalia, Primates, Tarsiidae. The record is from RefSeq and is a predicted model, not a curated record. The transcript is spliced from 4 exons.
CUGAGGCCGGGAAAUUUUAGCCUGCCCCGCGUGGGUGUGGGGCCCGGGGUGGGCUCCACACGGCAUCUGGAGGCAGAGACAGGCUCAGAGCACAAGGACUGGACCCCAGUUGGAGGGGGAGAUCCAUCCCACCUGAUUUUAGAUGCCCUGCUCCAGUCAGGUGCAGCUUGCAGAGAAGCCCGAGGCUGUUGCAGGAGAUUCAGUGGAAGAGAAGCAAAGAAAAAGGCAGGCACUACCGUGGCAUCCUGGCAAUCUCGUGCACGAGCUAAGAUUAAAGGCGCUCCUUGCUGAAACCCCUCCUCUUGAGUUUACAGUUCACCAGUUUCAACCCGGAGAUUGGGUGCUGAUCAAGUCCUGAAAGGAAACUAAGCUCCAACCAAGCUGGGAAGGACCCUAUCAAGCGUUCUAUCAACUGAAACAGCCAUGUGAACUGCUGGAAAAGGGCGAAUGCAUCAUACCCAUGUCAAGAAAUCACCAAAAGAAGGCUUUUACUUUGUUGGGCUUUUUCAUUUAAACUUUGACGGGAACCAAUUAGAACAAAAUCUUGUAAGCUACUCGGCAAAUUGGACAUGCAAAUGAACUAACUAGGGAACCCAACCAACGUACAACAUGUAGGCGAUGUCUGGGAAAGUAUUGUAACCUCUGGAAGUACCCUGCCUAUGGAGAAACAGGGGAGAGAUUUGCAUUUUAGGGCUUAAAUACUCUGGUUGAACUGCUUCUGUGUGUCUGCUCUUCUGAGGGACACCCGUUCUUGCAAGAGCGUUAUUAAAAGGUUGCUUCACUCUA